AAGGGCACCACAAGAACGCGUGGAGCAUGUGGCUUAAUUUGACUCAACGCGGGGAAACUUACCGGGUCCGGACACACUGAGGAUUGACAGGCGUUUACUUUUAUGUGUUUUUCUUCGCCACUUUACUUCGGUACUGUUGUGUUGAUGGGCACUUGAAGUAUAGCAAAUAUGCUAGUCCUUUCAUGAUUGUGUGAUAGGUGGUGCAUGGCCGUUCUUAGUUCGUGGAGUGAUCUGUCUGCUUAAUUGCGUUUCACAUUAAGAACUACAGAGUCCCGUCUGCGUUUGUGGUACGCCACGGACCAGACUUCUAUGUGGACUUCUAAUGUUCUGAAGGCAACGAACGUGACCGCAAUUUCUAGUUAACUUUCAAUUUGGUUUAGGGUUUCGGCUCUUUUCCAAUACAGUAAAGUUUAAACUAGAAAGACCGCUAGUAACUUUCAAACAGAGGAAGGUUGCGGCAAUAACAGGUCUGUGAUGCCCUUAGAUGUUCCGGGCUGCACACGUGCUACAAUGAUUGUUGCAAUAAGCAUCUCUCCCAUUGUAUGUCCCACACUUCACCUCUUUAUUGAGGAGUUGAGUGGAGACACCACAUUGCCUUUUGUCUUGCGAUGCGUCUUUUAACGCGCCUCCUUCGGGGGGAUGCUGUUUUGAGCUGUUGCUUGUGCGAAUUGUGCUUUGUGUCGGCCUACUUCGAAAGUGGUUAGGCAAUCACUUAGAAGUAACAACCCAGUUUCCCGCCACUAUACACACCUCUUGCUCCGCUCCCUUUCUUACGCUUGCGUAUGAUUGGGUUUACAUGUGGACUCGAUGGCGUUGCGCUCCAUAAAUUCGUUGUGGGGACAGACCAUUGCUAAUUGUUGGUCUCGGUCUCAACUAGGAAUGCCUUGUAGAUGUGGUUCAAC
RNAcentral lists this ribosomal RNA (902 nucleotides) under Foraminifera environmental sample. Its description in RNAcentral is "bacterial SSU rRNA". It matches the Rfam family "Eukaryotic small subunit ribosomal RNA", at positions 1160 to 1632 of the family's 1831-position model. Lineage: Eukaryota; Foraminifera. The record is from RNAcentral.